Molecule: ribosomal RNA, 237 nt
Filed under: uncultured bacterium
Lineage: Bacteria
Description: partial 16S ribosomal RNA
Rfam family: Bacterial small subunit ribosomal RNA
Source: RNAcentral
CGAACGGGUGAGUAACGCGUGAGGAACCUGCCUCAAAGAGGGGGACAACAGUUGGAAACGACUGCUAAUACCGCAUAAGCCCACGGCUCGGCAUCGAGCAGAGGGAAAAGGAGCAAUCCGCUUUGAGAUGGCCUCGCGUCCGAUUAGCUAGUUGGUGAGGUAACGGCCCACCAAGGCGACGAUCGGUAGCCGGACUGAGAGGUUGAACGGCCACAUCGGGACUGAGACACGGCCCAG